GAGUUGGUGAUGGACAGAGAGGCCUGGCGUGCUGCAGUCCAUGGGGCCACAGAGUCAGACACGACUGAGCGACUGAACUGAUCUGAAGGCCCUGAUGCUUGGAGCCAGGCCUUGCGCGUUCAGUCACUGAAGCCGAGCCCCGGUUUGGGUUUAAUUUCUUAAGGAUGGACCGGGGAGAAGCGUUUGGGUGCUCAGCCUCCAAGGAGCCGGCCCAGCAGUCGCAAGCCCAGUGCCCAGCCUCCCACCCUCGAGGUCUGGGUGCGGCGGGAAUAAGGACUCCUCCUACCCAGACUCGCUCGCCCCUGGAGACACAUGGGCUGGCCAGAACGUGCGGCCCGCCCUCCGCCCCCCGCUCUCCGCCCCCCGCUCCCGGUCCCCCUCUACCAACGCAGGUCUGAGACACUUCGGCGCAGAGCAGCAUUCUCCCGCCCUCAACCGGAACCGGAAGGCGGGGCUAGGCCGUCAUUCAACUUGGCCCCGCCGAUCAGGGCGGGACGACGCGCGCCCUGGGCCCGCCCAGGAAGGUUCCGCAGGUAGAAGGCAGGCGCCCGGUCUACGACGUCAUCGCGCUGACGCCGGCGUCCACUCGGCCCCGCCUGCUCCGUUGAAAAUGCCGAACCUAACAUGGCGGCGCGCGCUCGGCCCGCUUCACCCUGGUGUUUCCUCUCGCGCGGGCACUCUUCAGAGAGGAGAGACCCUCUUGGACAAGAGAGGCAGGCUGCAAAAGCCCACUGAACGUGCUUCUGAUAUUCAGGGGACAGUCUCUCCCACACCCUCUCAAAGUCCUGGUGCCCCAGAGAACCUUCAUUAAAAGGGUGGUCUGCUACCCGUCACCUUCGCUUGGGGCUCUUCCCCGAACAUAGUGACAGUGAUACAAAGCUGAAAACGGACGUCUGGAGCUUGGAACGCCUUCUCUGCAAUGCAGGUCACUUUUCUUCCUGUGAUAGAAAUCUCCUCUGUGCAUCAGAAGACUGAUUUCAGGGCCUGAGACGUCACGGACGCCAAGCCUCGCUUCUCAAGUCCUGUCUUAAAUUAUGAAACGCAGCUCGGGGACUUGAGUGUAGAUGACCUGUCUCAGCAGAGCGAGGUCUGGCAAACAAGAGAAUGCUCAAGAGUCAAUAACUGCUCAAGUGCUUUCUCCUGACUCCGGAGGCUCUCAGAUCCCGGCGUUAAUGUGAAACCUCUCUGUUUCUCUCUCUCUCUUGCCCUAAUACCGUGUAUGUUUUUUUUUUAACAUGGUCUCUGUCUCACUCUCUCUCUCUUCUAUUGCUUGUAGAUUUGCAGAGUUCUCUAAACGCCCGCAAAUCCUGUUUCAUUAAUCAUAUUUCCAUCAGUCCAACAGAGUAAAGCGUGCAAAGGCAUCUUACUUGCAUUGAGGUUAGAGACAGUCUAGAGAGGUUUCAGAAUGAGAUUGUGGUAAUUUGGCGAGGGCGUGCUGGAACACACCCAGGCUUGAUGUCCUCAGCCUUCUGCAGGACGAUCCUGCUGUUCCCGCUGUCGAAAACACAGCAAGACAAGGGGAGGGGCGUAAGAAGUACAGCGUACUGUGUAUAAAAUAAUGAGCUACAAGGAGAUACUGUCCAGCACAAGAAAUAUAGCUAGUACUUUUUUAAUAGCUAUAAAUGGAGUAUGGGUUUCCACGGUGGCUCAGAUGGUAAAGAAUCUGCCUGCAACGCAGGAGACCUAGGUUCGAUCCCUAGGUUGGGAAGAUUUCCUGGAGGGGAUGGUAUGACUACGCACUCCAGUAUUCUUGCCAGGAGAAUCCCAUGGACAGAGGAGCCUGGCAGGCUACAGUCCAUGGGGUCGCAAAG
This is a long non-coding RNA of Bos indicus x Bos taurus (hybrid cattle), 1811 nucleotides long. The record is from Ensembl. NCBI's taxonomy places the organism in Eukaryota, Metazoa, Chordata, Mammalia, Artiodactyla, Bovidae.